AACGAACGCUGGCGGCAGGCCUAACACAUGCAAGUCGAACGCCCUAGCGAUAGGGAGUGGCGCACGGGUGCGUAGCGCGUGGGAAUAUGCCCUUGACUGCGGAACAACGUCGGGAAACUGACGCUAAUACCGCAUAAUGUCUUCGGACCAAAGAUUUAUCGGUCAAGGAUUAGCCCGCGUCUGAUUAGCUAGUUGGUGAGGUAACGGCUCACCAAGGCGACGAUCAGUAGGGGGUCUGAGAGGAUGAUCCCCCACACUGGGACUGAGACACGGCCCAGACUCCUACGGGAGGCAGCAGUGAGGAAUAUUGGACAAUGGGCGCAAGCCUGAUCCAGCCAUGCCGCGUGAGUGACGAAGGCCUUCGGGUUGUAAAGCUCUUUCAGAUGCGAAGAUAAUGACGGCAGCAUCAGAAGAAGCCCCGGCUAAAUUCGUGCCAGCCGCCGCGGUAA
Molecule: ribosomal RNA, 449 nt
Filed under: uncultured bacterium
Lineage: Bacteria
Description: partial 16S ribosomal RNA
Rfam family: Bacterial small subunit ribosomal RNA
Source: RNAcentral